This 250-nucleotide ribosomal RNA is filed under the name uncultured bacterium. RNAcentral describes it as "partial 16S ribosomal RNA". It matches the Rfam family "Bacterial small subunit ribosomal RNA", at positions 524 to 774 of the family's 1533-position model. The record is from RNAcentral.
UACGUAGGGGGCUAGCGUUAUCCGGAAUUACUGGGCGUAAAGAGUGCGUAGGUGGUUUCUUAAGUCAGAAGUGAAAGGCUACGGCUCAACCGUAGUAAGCUUUUGAAACUAAGAGACUUGAGUGCAGGAGAGGAGAGUAGAAUUCCUAGUGUAGCGGUGAAAUGCGUAGAGAUUGGGAGGAACACCAGUGGCGAAGGCGGCUUUCUGGACUGUAACUGACACUGAGGCUCGAAAGCGUGGGGAGCAAACA